Molecule: ribosomal RNA, 253 nt
Filed under: uncultured bacterium
Lineage: Bacteria
Description: partial 16S ribosomal RNA
Rfam family: Bacterial small subunit ribosomal RNA
Source: RNAcentral
UACGGAGGGUGCGAGCGUUAAUCGGAAUUACUGGGCGUAAAGGGCACGCAGGCGGGCUGUUAAGUCGGAUGUGAAAUCCCCGGGCUUAACCUGGGAACUGCAUUUGAGACUGGCAGUCUAGAGUCCUUUAGAGGGGGGUAGAAUUCCAAGUGUAGCGGUGAAAUGCGUAGAGAUGUGGAGGAAUACCGGUGGCGAAGGCGGCCCCCUGGGAAGGUACUGACGCUCAGGUGCGAAAGCGUGGGGAGCAAACAGG